AGCAGCCGCGGUAAUUCCAGCUCCAAUAGCGUAUAUUAAAGUUGUUGCAGUUAAAAAGCUCGUAGUUGAAUUUCGGGAUUGACGUGAUGGUCGUGCCUUAAGGGGUAUGAACUGUUGCUGUUGAUUUCUCACCUUCUGGAGAAACUUGAUGUCCUUAAUUGGGUGUCUUGCGGAUCCAGGACCUUUACCUUGAAAAAAUUAGAGUGUUUAAAGCAGGCAUUUUGCUCGAAUACAUUAGCAUGGAAUAAUAGAAUAGGACGGCAUGGUUCUAUUUUGUUGGUUUCUAGGAUCACCGUAAUGAUUAAUAGGGAUAGUUGGGGGCAUUAGUAUUCAAUUGUCAGAGGUGAAAUUCUUGGAUUUAUUGAAGACUAACUACUGCGAAAGCAUUUGCCAAGGAUGUUUUCAUUAAUCAAGAACGAAAGUUAGGGGAUCGAAGACGAUCAGAUACCGUCGUAGUCUUAACCAUAAACUAUGCCGACUAGGAUCGGAUGAU
This 493-nucleotide ribosomal RNA is filed under the name uncultured Entrophospora. Its description in RNAcentral is "SSU rRNA". It matches the Rfam family "Eukaryotic small subunit ribosomal RNA", at positions 569 to 1060 of the family's 1831-position model. Lineage: Eukaryota; Fungi; Glomeromycota; Glomeromycetes; Entrophosporales; Entrophosporaceae. The record is from RNAcentral.